GGUCUUCGAGGUGGUAGAUUUCGUGUCAACCACACGCCCCCGUGGCUAAAAGAGAUGCAGGGGAACGGCACGCCUGCCGAAGACC
This 85-nucleotide non-coding RNA is filed under the name unclassified sequences. Its description in RNAcentral is "skipping-rope RNA". It matches the Rfam family "skipping-rope RNA". Rfam says of the family: Firmicutes, Fusobacteria, AlphaProteobacteria, Spirochaetes. Downstream gene The record is from Rfam by way of RNAcentral.